RNAcentral lists this ribosomal RNA (253 nucleotides) under uncultured bacterium. RNAcentral describes it as "partial 16S ribosomal RNA". It matches the Rfam family "Bacterial small subunit ribosomal RNA", at positions 524 to 776 of the family's 1533-position model. The record is from RNAcentral.
UACGGAGGGGGCUAGCGUUGUUCGGAAUUACUGGGCGUAAAGCGCACGUAGGCGGACCUACAAGUCGGGGGUGAAAUCCCGGGGCUCAACCCCGGAACUGCCUUCGAAACUGUGGGUCUGGAGGUCGAGAGAGGUGAGUGGAAUUCCGAGUGUAGAGGUGAAAUUCGUAGAUAUUCGGAGGAACACCAGUGGCGAAGGCGGCUCACUGGCUCGAUACUGACGCUGAGGUGCGAAAGCGUGGGGAGCAAACAGG